RNAcentral lists this ribosomal RNA (232 nucleotides) under uncultured Streptococcus sp. RNAcentral describes it as "partial 16S ribosomal RNA". It matches the Rfam family "Bacterial small subunit ribosomal RNA", at positions 1149 to 1382 of the family's 1533-position model. Lineage: Bacteria; Bacillati; Bacillota; Bacilli; Lactobacillales; Streptococcaceae. The record is from RNAcentral.
CUGCCGGUAAUAACCGGAGGAAGGUGGGAUGACGUCAAAUCAUCAUGCCCUUAUGACCUGGGCUACACACGUGCUACAAUGGUUGGUACAACGAGUUGCGAGUCGGUGACGGCGAGCUAAUCUCUUAAAGCCAAUCUCAGUUCGGAUUGUAGGCUGCCAACUCGCCUACAUGAAGUCGGAAUCGCUAGUAAUCGCGGAUCAGCACGCCGCGGUGAAUACGUUCCCGGGCCUU